CUUUCCUUGAUGACGACUGGCGCACGGGUGAGUAACGCGUAUCCAACCUUCCCAUAACUACGGGAUAACCCGUUGAAAGACGGCCUAAUACCGUAUGACAUCGUUUGCUGACAUCAAAUAACGAUUAAAGGUUUAGCGGUUAUGGAUGGGGAUGCGUCUGAUUAGCUUGUUGGCGGGGUAACGGCCCACCAAGGCUACGAUCAGUAGGGGUUCUGAGAGGAAGGUCCCCCACAUUGGAACUGAGACACGGUCCAAACUCCUACGGGAGGCAGCAGGA
RNAcentral lists this ribosomal RNA (277 nucleotides) under uncultured Prevotella sp. RNAcentral's name for it is "partial 16S ribosomal RNA". It matches the Rfam family "Bacterial small subunit ribosomal RNA", at positions 79 to 354 of the family's 1533-position model. The record is from RNAcentral. Lineage: Bacteria; Pseudomonadati; Bacteroidota; Bacteroidia; Bacteroidales; Prevotellaceae.